This 500-nucleotide ribosomal RNA is filed under the name uncultured bacterium. RNAcentral describes it as "partial 16S ribosomal RNA". It matches the Rfam family "Bacterial small subunit ribosomal RNA", at positions 30 to 523 of the family's 1533-position model. The record is from RNAcentral.
AUUGAACGCUGGCGGCAUGCCUUACACAUGCAAGUCGAACGGCAGCACGGGAGCAAUCCUGGUGGCGAGUGGCGAACGGGUGAGUAAAGUAUCGGAACGUGCCCAGUCGUGGGGGAUAACGUAGCGAAAGUUACGCUAAUACCGCAUACGAUCUAUGGAUGAAAGCGGGGGAUCGCAAGACCUCGCGCGAUUGGAGCGGCCGAUAUCAGAUUAGGUAGGUGGUGGGGUAAAGGACCACCAAGCCGACGAUCUGUAGCCGGUCUGACAGUACGACCAGCCACACUGGGCCUUAGACACGGCCCAGACUCCUACGGGAGGCAGCAGUGGGGAAUUUUGGACAAUGGGCGAAAGCCUGAUCCAGCCAUGCCGCGUGCAGGAUGAAGGCCUUCGGGUUGUAAACUGCUUUUGUACGGAACGAAAAGGUUUGGGCUAAUAAGCUGAGCUCAUGACGGUACCGUAAGAAUAAGCACCGGCUAACUACGUGCCAGCAGCCGCAGUAA